Molecule: microRNA precursor, 125 nt
Filed under: Hordeum vulgare
Lineage: Eukaryota; Viridiplantae; Streptophyta; Magnoliopsida; Poales; Poaceae
Description: microRNA MIR1122
Rfam family: MIR1120/MIR1122 microRNA precursor family
Source: RNAcentral
UUUAUACUCCCUCCGUCCAAAAAUACUUGUCGGAGAAUGGAUGUAUCUAGACGUAUUUUAGUUUCUAGAUGCAUCCAUUUUUAUCCAUUUCUCCGACGAGUAUUUUCGGACAGAGGGAGUAUUUA